GGUAGAAGUCUUCUCUCCCCUCCUUGGCUAAGGACGCAUUACUUAGGAUCAUACUAGCAUACUGGAUACUAAUUGGAAGUAGGGGAUAUGGGGUUCUCUUUGGAUCUGGCAAUGCUGAGUUUCUUAAUUAGAGUGCUGGUUAUGUAGGUGUGUUGGUGGAUUCAAUAAAAUUCACCAAGAUGAGCCCUUUAAAGAUAUACUAAGUGAAAUAAGUCCUUCACAAAAGGACAAAACUGUAUGAUCCCACUUAUGUGAAGUCCCUAGGACAGUCAAAUUCGUAGACACAGAAGGUAGAAUGGUGGUUCCCUUGGGAUUGCAGGGAUGGAGAAGUUAAGUGUUUAAGAGAAAUGGGGCUCCAGAUAGGAAGAUGGAAAGUUUCUGAGAUGGAUGGAUGGUGGUAGUUUUGCAAUAGUGUGAAUGCCUACUUAGUGCCAGUGAACUGUGCACCCAAAAUGGUUAGAAUUUUAUGUUAUAGGUAUUUAAUCACAAUUUUUUAAAAGAAGAAAAAAUUGAUGGAGCUGCAUAUUUGUGAUUUGUAGACUUUUCUACAUGUAAAAGCUGUGUGUGUGUGUGUGUGUGUGUGUGUGUUUUAAAAAAAACCUAACCAAAUCCUAGCUCUUGAAGCAUGGUGCUUAUUCCAUGAAGGACCAAAGGAUAGUUCCUGCUAUUUCAUCUCAUCUCCAUCUCCAAAAUCAAACAAACCAAGAUUUGACAACCUCAGUGACUCCCCUCACUGCUAUUUUCUGAAAUGUGUCUGAGGCUCUUUGUGCUUCUGUCUGGCCCUCCUUCUGCCCAAGUGGUCUGCGUAGGCAGGCGUGCCCUCCAGUGAUGGGAAGACUCAUAGCCCAGGCUUCCUCUGCCCUCCACGAGGGAACCCUGGGGUUAGAUCUAACCGAGUGAUGUCCAGCCCAAGCCUUCAACAAAUUCUGUGAUUCUCAGGAAACUUUGGCUGAAUGACUUUUUUUAAACUUCCCUAGCAUCAGAAAUAAUCCUCCUGAAAUAAAUCAUUCACUUUGGGCAUGAAAAUCAAGGGAAAAUGUUAGAAAAUAUUUAUCUAAGAUAUAACUGGUGACUUAUCACUCUAAUUUACUUAAUGAACAUUUAUGAGUCACU
Molecule: long non-coding RNA, 1113 nt
Filed under: Marmota monax (woodchuck)
Lineage: Eukaryota; Metazoa; Chordata; Mammalia; Rodentia; Sciuridae
Source: RNAcentral